RNAcentral lists this ribosomal RNA (377 nucleotides) under uncultured Polaribacter sp. Its description in RNAcentral is "bacterial SSU rRNA". It matches the Rfam family "Bacterial small subunit ribosomal RNA", at positions 120 to 496 of the family's 1533-position model. Lineage: Bacteria; Pseudomonadati; Bacteroidota; Flavobacteriia; Flavobacteriales; Flavobacteriaceae. The record is from RNAcentral.
UAGAACCUACCUUUUACAGAGGAUAGCCUUUAGAAAUGAAGAUUAAUGCCUCAUAGUAUUGUAGACUGGCAUCAGUUUAUAAUUAAAGAUUUAUCGGUAAAAGAUGGCUAUGCGUCCUAUUAGUUAGUUGGUAAGGUAACGGCUUACCAAGACAGCGAUAGGUAGGGGUCCUGAGAGGGAGAUCCCCCACACUGGUACUGAGACACGGACCAGACUCCUACGGGAGGCAGCAGUGAGGAAUAUUGGACAAUGGAGGAGACUCUGAUCCAGCCAUGCCGCGUGUAGGAAGAAUGCCCUAUGGGUUGUAAACUACUUUUAUACAGGAAGAAACACUGGUAUGUAUACCAGCUUGACGGUACUGUAAGAAUAAGGACCGG